GAUAUCCGUGAAGUUGCCCGUAGUAUUGUAGUUGUUGCUAAUGAAUUCAACCAGGACUCCAAGCUCCGAGUAUGCUUUACGACGACUGUGUCCUCUUGAACUAAAGUAUCCUCUUUACCUGUCCGUCACUAAUGUUAACGUUGUGCCGACUGCAAAUCCUAAAUAUCUUUAUAUUCUAACUCGAAAAGUAAAAAUCAAUGAAUAGAUGAAUAUCCAGCGCUGUGGAUGACGCCAUUGUGAUGAACUCUGACCCGGAACCAGUCUCUGUGUUUAAAAAAAAAAUAAAGAAAAAAUUACGAGAUAAUCCCGACAAGAAAAAUGAAUUAAUUCGGAAAACAGAUUUAAAAAAAAAUAUUAUUCCGGAAAACGGAAUAAAAAAAAAAUUAAAAAAAUCCUGAAAACGGAUUUAUUUAUUUUUUUAGUGACGACAAUGCUCCAUUGUACUAAUCUGUUUAACUGCAUUAUUUUAUUUAUUUAUUUUAAAGGCCUUAAGGAGUCAAUAACUGUAAUCAUUAAAACGUUUGAUUUAAAAAAUAAACAUGUUUUUUUCAAGUUUUAGUUUCAUUUGUAAACCUGGGAAUGUUUGCUGUUGUUGUCAUGGUAACGAGUGACCGUUCAACUGCUUGGGCGGAGCUAUAGUGCUUUCAUGUUCGCUGAUUUCUGUCAAGGACACAAAACUCCAACAUUUUACCAACAACAAACUGUAAGAGACAAAUAAGUGAACAAGGAGUGAACAACAUCAGGGAGAAAAAAAGAUGACAGCAGUGGAGAUGGAGCAAGAGCAGAUGAGGGUGCUGCUUAAAGACAACAAUGCUGAGCUGAUGGAGGAAGUCCUUUCUUUAAGGAAGGCUCUUCAAAAGCAGAAGGAGAAGACCCAAAAAGUCAACCUGGAGCUCCAGCUCACUGACCUCAACAUCAACACAAACAUUAAUGAGAUGAAGAUGGAUUGGGGGGAUAUGAUGGAUCAGGAUGAUAAGGACAAUGAAAUCCUGACUUUAAAAAAGGCAAAUGAAGCCCUUAGUGAGAAGAACUUUCUACUGGAGAAGACAUUGACUGAGAAACAGGAGGAGCUGAUCAACAUGAAGGAAAAGCUCCCAGAGUACCAUGAGAGCAAACUCUCAUCAGAGAUACAAACUCUGAAAUCUGCCCUGCACGUCCAGCACACAGAAGCUGCUGAAGCUUCAAAACAGCUUCAGGACCAGGACAUGAUGAUUGAGAAGUUGAAAACUAUUGCUCAGAUAAAGAUGGCAGAAUCUAAUGCACACUGGAGCAGAAGGAUGGAGGUUCUAAAGCAGCAGGUGCAGGAUUCAGAGAAGAACAAUGUCUGUAUGGACUCCCAGGCUCAGAUAAACUACCUCCAGACACAAAUCACCUCCCUGGAAGAUCUUCUACAGAGCCAAAGCAAGCAUGUUGGGCUUUUACAAAGGCAGCUGCUGGACGAAAGACAACAUUUAGCAAGAACUUUUGAGUCCCACAACAAGGCCAUGUAUGACUCCCAUGCACAAUGGGAUGAGCGGUGGUCCACCAGGGAGGAGGAGAUGCUGACUUCUAUGUCCAUCCUUCAGAGCCAGCAUGAACAGAGGAUGAAUGGACUGACUAACAGGAAUGCUGAGAAUCUGACAAAGAUUUCCCAUUUGGAAAGUCAGCUCAUGGAGUCUCAGGCAGAGUGGAGUGACAGGUACAAAACCCUGCAGGAGAAACACCUGUCAACGAGCAAAGCAAAGGAGGAGAGGAUGCAACACCAAAUGGAGGCCCUGAUGAGAAAGAACAUUGAACUCCAGGAGCUGGCCUUGAAAACAGGUGAAGAAAAGGCCACCGUGAGGAAGGAGCAGAAAAAGAGAGAGAAGGAGGACGCCAAGAGGAGGCAAAGGGAGCUGAAAGAGCGAGAAACGCUGGAGAAAACCAAACUGAAGGACGUGAAGAAAGAAGAGAAAGAAAAGACUGGGGAGGGAAAACACCAACGGUCUUUCUUUUGGCAAAAACUGCUGAGAAAACCACAUCGCAAUUUUUUUCCCCCUGC
Gouania willdenowi (blunt-snouted clingfish) is the source of this 2020-nucleotide long non-coding RNA. Ensembl annotates it as golgin subfamily A member 4-like. The record is from Ensembl. NCBI's taxonomy places the organism in Eukaryota, Metazoa, Chordata, Actinopteri, Blenniiformes, Gobiesocidae.